Molecule: long non-coding RNA, 2132 nt
Organism: Triticum urartu
Lineage: Eukaryota; Viridiplantae; Streptophyta; Magnoliopsida; Poales; Poaceae
Source: RefSeq, a predicted model, not a curated record
AAUGUCACACGUCGUGGGAUGGAUGGAGUAGAAAAAAAAGUGUUCCAGAGAUUACAAGCCAGCCACAUCCCAGAUUUAUUCUGGUUAGAUAAUGAGAGCGGUUCCAGCGGCGGCGACGGGCUCGACUGUGUGAUGGUCAACGCCUCAACGGGGCAGCCGGGACGCCGUGGUGAGCGGCGGCUGGCCUCGGUCGCUGUGGUGGAUGGUCGGAAGCAUAGUUUGCGGAGGCGGCGCUAUUGUGGCAGUGGCGGUCAUCUAGGAUCCUCCAUGGCUGGCUCGACUCCCGUGACUUCCUCUCCCUCGGCUCGUACGGUUCCCGUUCCUUCCAUCCCCCAACUCUCUUUUUUCCAUUGUCUUUGAUUCCUCCCUGUGAAUGCCCAUUGUGGAGGAGGCCACCACGCCAUGAGCACAAGGACUGACAUCGGAUUGAUUCGGGGGCGGGAGAAACUGCUGCAUUGGCCUCGCGGUUCGGCCGUGUACGGUCUGGCGGCAGACGACAUCGUCGUAGCGGUAUAACGCCGGGCGGCCGGGGGACCAUUUGGAGCUGAAGCGGUGGGUAAGAGGAGUGCCAGAUUGGAUAGGAUACAUGGCCUUCAUUCUUUCAACAUGGAUUUGUUAGUGAUCGUAACUUUCCCAAUUUUCUGAUGUUGAUUUCCGAGAUCUGGAGAGUUGGAUCUAAACUAAAGAAUUAUUUACCUGGCCCAACAAAUUCCCCGCUGCAGGGUGUAGCUCUGUUACAGACUACCAGCUCAUACCUUACAUACAAGUACGGCAGGUAUAUAGCAUGUAAUUAGCCAAUACAUCUGGGUGGGCAAGCUCACUACACAGUUGAACUUGUAGCAACCUUGAUAUGUAUUAGUAGCACUAUUUGUGCUGAUACACCAACUUUCCUUUGUUGAAGGGAGAAACUCGGUGAGCACCGCGCAUCCGUGCCGGGACUCGAACUCGGGUGGUCUGGCAGCAACCUCAGCUACCCAGCCAAUGGGUCGACGCCCAGUCCUCAUGUGCACUUGAAAGGAAUGGAUGCAUAUAUGCUGCCGUAAUAGUUUACAAGGUAUGAAUCAUCGGUUAAUCCAUCUCGGUGUUCUCUUAACAAAGGAUUGCAUGCUAUUGAGCUUGGCUCAACUACUGAUGGCACAUAUAUUCCUUUCUUUUUUCCCAAUGGUGGUUGAUUUGCUCUUCCAUGAAGGCCUGUGAUUUGCUAAUUGUCUAUUAGCCAGUUAGAGAAGUAGUGGCAAUCAAUGUAUAUUUCAAAUCUUGUAUCUUAUCUGGAUAGCUUCAGACAUACUUAGCUCUCUUGUAUUUCAAGCAAAUGAAUGUUGCUAGUCAAAAGAAGUGAUGGACUAGGUACUAAGUACGUCUUACCUGAUUUUACUAUAUUGCGAGGUACAUAGCAUAUUUUGUUUGUGCCUGGUCGAUUGCUUGCUUCUCUACACGCAUCUGCUUGUACUGGCAGUGAUUUUUUUCAGGCACAUUCUUGCAGCAGGCUGGCUGGUUUGAUUUGGUGUUGUGUGCUUGAUUUCUCCAUUUGCUGGUCAGGAUUGGACAAGGUGUAAAUACCCGUUACCUCUAGAAAGAUCCAAGGGUUGUUGGUAUACUUUUUUUAGGUCAUAUAGUUGGUUGUUUUAUCCUUUUGAAUGAUUACAGGUUAAGAAACAUACUAGCAUCCCCUGCAAAAAAGAAAAGAAAAAGAAUACUAGCAUAGAAGGCAGAAGUCGGACAUGCCUCAGUUCUGAAGAUUAUGAAGCUCCAGAUAGAAGUAUUGUGAGCAAACAAUGAAGUCAUGUACAUCAAACUGCAACUUUGAAAGAUAGUUACCGUGGAUGCUUCAGAGCACAUGUGGACUCCAAAAUCUAUGGUGUCAAUGUUGUGAAGAUAUUGGAAUGUUUCAUGUUUGGGACUUUCAGAACUUAUGAUAUGCCGGUGUGGCAAAUUUCCAGAGAUAUUUAGGAAACCUAGUUAUUUGAUUCUGCUGUUACAAAAUAACCUUGAGAGAAUCCCCAUAGUUUGCAAAUAUUCGUGGAGUUCUCACUGCAACAAAGAGAGGACCUACACCUGCAAUGCCCGCGUGACAGCUAAGUGGCUGUGAGUUACAGCACAUGCUAUAUAUUAGGCUGAAUCGAGUUCGUCGA